This 254-nucleotide ribosomal RNA is filed under the name uncultured microorganism. Its description in RNAcentral is "partial 16S ribosomal RNA". It matches the Rfam family "Archaeal small subunit ribosomal RNA", at positions 474 to 727 of the family's 1478-position model. The record is from RNAcentral.
CACCGGCGGCUCGAGCGGUGGCCACUUUUAUUGGGUCUAAAGCGUCCGUAGCCGGCUUGGCAAGUCCCCUGGGAAAUCUGGCGGCUUAACCGUCAGGCGUCCAGAGGAUACUGCCAGGCUUGGGACCGGGAGAGGUGAGAGGUACCUCAGGGGUAGGGGUGAAAUCUUGUGAUCCCUGAGGGACCACCAGUGGCGAAGGCGUCUCACUAGAACGGGUCCGACGGUCAGGGACGAAAGCUGGGGGCACGAACCGG